GUCUGAAAUUAGUGCUUGUAAAUUGCCAAUUUACUACUAAAACCACGCUUCUUCCUUCCCCAUUAUUUAUGGCCAGAAGUGAACCGGUUUAAGCUUAAUUUAUAUCUGGUGGCUCAGCUGAAUGCCAUUAUCAAGUUCUGAUCCUCAUUAGCUGCAGAAACUGGCCUUCUCAGCUAGAAUACUUUUAUGCACCCUGAAGACAUAAGCAGUACUCACCAGUCUCCAGACCAAGAACAUCUAGUCCCCAAAGAUACAGAACUCAUAUCACCACCAAGUGGUGAUAUGGCAACAAGUAAUACUACACAUUCUUAUAACUACACACCAUCAAUAAAAAGGGGGAGAAAAAAAGAGAACCCAAGUGAAGUGUCAAGCUUCUGUUAUGUAUCGGCUGCCUGUAGAUAAGGUUAAGUAGUCUAUUAACAGUUAGGAUUGACGAAGUUUCUAAUCUCCUCCAUGAGGCAAUAGAA
RNAcentral lists this unclassified non-coding RNA (467 nucleotides) under Hevea brasiliensis (rubber tree). The record is from RNAcentral. Lineage: Eukaryota; Viridiplantae; Streptophyta; Magnoliopsida; Malpighiales; Euphorbiaceae.